This 550-nucleotide ribosomal RNA is filed under the name uncultured Glomeromycotina. RNAcentral's name for it is "SSU rRNA". It matches the Rfam family "Eukaryotic small subunit ribosomal RNA", at positions 548 to 1098 of the family's 1831-position model. Lineage: Eukaryota; Fungi; Glomeromycota. The record is from RNAcentral.
UUGGAGGGCAGUCUGGUGCCAGCAGCCGCGGUAAUUCCAGCUCCAAUAGCGUAUAUUAAAGUUGUUGCAGUUAAAAAGCUCGUAGUUGAACUUCGGGGUCUACCCAUUGGUCAGGCUUAAUUGUCUGUACUGGUGAGAUGGAUCUCUACCUUCUGAGGAACUUUCAUGCCAUUUAUUUGGUGUGAUGGGAAAUCAGGACUGUUACUUUGAAAAAAUUAGAGUGUUUAAAGCAGACUAUCGUCUGAAUACAUUAGCAUGGAAUAAUGAAAUAGGACGGACUGAUUCUAUUUCGUUGGUUUCUAGGAUCACCGUAAUGAUUAAUAGGGAUAGUUGGGGGCAUUAGUAUUCAAUUGUCAGAGGUGAAAUUCUUGGAUUUAUUGAAGACUAACUACUGCGAAAGCAUUUGCCAAGGAUGUUUUCAUUAAUCAAGAACGAAAGUUAGGGGAUCGAAGACGAUCAGAUACCGUCGUAGUCUUAACCAUAAACUAUGCCGACUAGGGAUCGGACGAAGUUAAUUUUAUAAUGACGCGUUCGGCGCCUUACGGGAAAC